UACGUAGGGCGCAAGCGUUAUCCGGAAUUAUUGGGGCGUAAAGAGCUCGUAGGCGGUUUUGUCGCGUCUGCCCGUGAAAAGUCCGGGGCUCAACUCCGGAUCUGCGGUGGGUACGGGCAGACUAGAGUGAUGUAGGGGGAGACUGGAAUUCCUGGUGUAGCGGUGAAAUGCGCAGAUAUCAGGAGGAACACCGAUGGCGAAGGCAGGUCUCUGGGCAUUAACUGACGCUGAGGAGCGAAAAGCAUGGGGGAGCGAACAGG
Molecule: ribosomal RNA, 260 nt
Filed under: uncultured bacterium
Lineage: Bacteria
Description: partial 16S ribosomal RNA
Rfam family: Bacterial small subunit ribosomal RNA
Source: RNAcentral